UACGUAGGUGGCAAGCGUUGUCCGGAUUUAUUGGGUUUAAAGGGUGCGUAGGCGGCCUAUUAAGUCAGUGGUGAAAUAUUUCAGCUCAACUGGAAUUGUGCCAUUGAUACUGAUGGGCUUGAGUACAGAUGAGGUAGGCGGAAUUGACGGUGUAGCGGUGAAAUGCUUAGAUAUCGUCAAGAACACCUAUAGCGAAGGCAGCUUACUAGGCUGUAACUGACGCUGAGGCACGAAAGCGUGGGGAGCGAACAGG
RNAcentral lists this ribosomal RNA (253 nucleotides) under uncultured bacterium. RNAcentral describes it as "partial 16S ribosomal RNA". It matches the Rfam family "Bacterial small subunit ribosomal RNA", at positions 524 to 776 of the family's 1533-position model. The record is from RNAcentral.